CCGGUUGGGGAUGGGCUCGCGGCCUAUCAGCUUGUUGGUGGGGUGAUGGCCUACCAAGGCGAUGACGGGUAGCCGGCCUGAGAGGGCGACCGGCCACACUGGGACUGAGACACGGCCCAG
Molecule: ribosomal RNA, 120 nt
Filed under: uncultured bacterium
Lineage: Bacteria
Description: partial 16S ribosomal RNA
Rfam family: Bacterial small subunit ribosomal RNA
Source: RNAcentral